AGAAGGCCUUCGGGUUGUAAAGCACUUUUGUCCGGAAAGAAAUCCUUGACUCUAAUACAGUCGGGGGAUGACGGUACCGGAAGAAUAAGCACCGGCUAACUACGUGCCAGCAGCCGCGGUAAUACGUAGGGUGCGAGCGUUAAUCGGAAUUACUGGGCGUAAAGCGUGCGCAGGCGGUUUGCUAAGACCGAUGUGAAAUCCCCGGGCUCAACCUGGGAACUGCAUUGGUGACUGGCAGGCUAGAGUAUGGCAGAGGGGGGUAGAAUUCCACGUGUAGCAGUGAAAUGCGUAGAGAUGUGGAGGAAUACCGAUGGCGAAGGCAGCCCCCUGGGCCAAUACUGACGCUCAUGCACGAAAGCGUGGGGAGCAAACAGGAUUAGAUACCCUGGUAGUCCACGCCCUAAACGAUGUCAACUAGUUGUUGGGGAUUCAUUUCCUUAGUAACGUAGCUAACGCGUGAAGUUGACCGCCUGGGGAGUACGGUCGCAAGAUUAAAACUCAAAGGAAUUGACGGGGACCCGCACAAGCGGUGGAUGAUGUGGAUUAAUUCGAUGCAACGCGAAAAACCUUACCUACCCUUGACAUGGUCGGAAUCCUGCUGAGAGGUGGGAGUGCUCGAAAGAGAACCGGCGCACAGGUGCUGCAUGGCUGUCGUCAGCUC
RNAcentral lists this ribosomal RNA (661 nucleotides) under Burkholderia sp. RNAcentral describes it as "bacterial SSU rRNA". It matches the Rfam family "Bacterial small subunit ribosomal RNA", at positions 409 to 1061 of the family's 1533-position model. The record is from RNAcentral. Lineage: Bacteria; Pseudomonadati; Pseudomonadota; Betaproteobacteria; Burkholderiales; Burkholderiaceae.